AUUGACAAGUGUGUCACAAACAACUUUUGGACAUUAAAAAUAAUCCAAAGUUUUCAUGUUUGUCUAUAUCUUCAUUCGUUAAAUCACUAUAUUCAUCAUUGUCUAAACUUUCAUAUUCUUAUCUAGUGUCAGACAAAUCUCUAUCAUGUAAGUCUUUAACUACUUCGUUUAACAUUUGGUUGGAAGACCCACUUGGUCCAACCACUUCAACUUUAUCUUCCCAAAAUUCAUCUUCCACCUCAUCUCCAUAAAUACUAACAUCCACUAUAUCGUCUUCACUCAAAACUUCUCAUUCAUACUCAUUCCAAUUACUAAGAUCAAAGUCAUCAUGGCCUUGAUCUUGCCCCUCCUUCUCCCUCUCCUCAUGAACUUCAUUUGCAUAGUCUCCCUCUCCCUCCACAACAACCUUAGGCUGACCCUGACUCUUACCUUCCACAUCAACGUUUUUUUCACAGUCACCCUCUUCCUCCAUAACAACCUUAGGCUCAUCCUUACUCUCACCCUCCACACCAACUUCUUAUUCACACUCACCCUCCCUCUCCACAGUAACCAUAAGUUAACCCUCACCCUCCUUCUCCCGACCCAUAUCAACUUUAGGUUCACAUUCAUUCUCACUCCUAACAUCUCCAUACAACCAUCCUUAUUACCAUUACCCUUUGGAG
Molecule: long non-coding RNA, 662 nt
Filed under: Vigna radiata
Lineage: Eukaryota; Viridiplantae; Streptophyta; Magnoliopsida; Fabales; Fabaceae
Description: long non-coding RNA (VRAD_LNC000065)
Source: RNAcentral